Molecule: ribosomal RNA, 953 nt
Filed under: Acinetobacter sp. NF63
Lineage: Bacteria; Pseudomonadati; Pseudomonadota; Gammaproteobacteria; Moraxellales; Moraxellaceae
Description: bacterial SSU rRNA
Rfam family: Bacterial small subunit ribosomal RNA
Source: RNAcentral
GUAGGUGCGUAUCGGAUUUACUGGGCGUAAGCGCGCGUAGGUGGUUAAUUAAGUCAAAUGUGAAAUCCCCGAGCUUAACUUGGGAAUUGCAUUCGAUACUGGUUAGCUAGAGUAUGGGAGAGGAUGGUAGAAUUCCAGGUGUAGCGGUGAAAUGCGUAGAGAUCUGGAGGAAUACCGAUGGCGAAGGCAGCCAUCUGGCCUAAUACUGACACUGAGGUGCGAAAGCAUGGGGAGCAAACAGGAUUAGAUACCCUGGUAGUCCAUGCCGUAAACGAUGUCUACUAGCCGUUGGGGGAUUUGAUCCUUUAGUGGCGCAGCUAACGCGAUAAGUAGACCGCCUGGGGAGUACGGUCGCAAGACUAAAACUCAAAUGAAUUGACGGGGGCCCGCACAAGCGGUGGAGCAUGUGGUUUAAUUCGAUGCAACGCGAAGAACCUUACCUGGCCUUGACAUAGUAGAGACUUUCCAGAGAUGGAUUGGUGCCUUCGGGAAUCUACAUACAGGUGCUGCAUGGCUGUCGUCAGCUCGUGUCGUGAGAUGUUGGGUUAAGUCCCGCAACGAGCGCAACCCUUUUCCUUACUUGCCAGCAUUUCGGAUGGGAACUUUAAGGAUACUGCCAGUGACAAACUGGAGGAAGGCGGGGACGACGUCAAGUCAUCAUGGCCCUUACGGCCAGGGCUACACACGUGCUACAAUGGUCGGUACAAAGGGUUGCUACACAGCGAUGUGAUGCUAAUCUCAAAAAGCCGAUCGUAGUCCGGAUCGCAGUCUGCAACUCGACUGCGUGAAGUCGGAUCGCUAGUAAUCGCGGAUCAGAAUGCCGCGGUGAAUACGUUCCCGGCCUUGUACACACCGCCCGUCACACCAUGGAGUUUGUUGCACCAGAAGUAGUAGUCUAACCGCAAGGAGGACGCUUACCACGGUGUGGCCGAUGACUGGGGUGAGCGAGAGGG